GACCUCAGAUCAGGCAAGACUACCCG
Molecule: ribosomal RNA, 26 nt
Filed under: Depastromorpha sp. AUS
Lineage: Eukaryota; Metazoa; Cnidaria; Staurozoa; Stauromedusae; Haliclystidae
Description: partial 28S large subunit ribosomal RNA
Source: RNAcentral